Molecule: long non-coding RNA, 320 nt
Filed under: Malus domestica (apple)
Lineage: Eukaryota; Viridiplantae; Streptophyta; Magnoliopsida; Rosales; Rosaceae
Description: long non-coding RNA (MDOM_LNC011210)
Source: RNAcentral
GUUUGCAUGAUUCUGAUUACUUUUGAAGUCUUCUUCAGCAAUGCCCCAUCCAUAACCCCAGUUUGCAUGAUUCUGUAUACUUUUGAAGUCUUCUUCAGCAAUGCCCCAUCCACUACCCCAGUUUGCAGGAUUUUCUUUAUUUUUGAAGUCUACUUCAGCGUCGCCCCAUCCACAACCCCAGUUUGCAGGAUUUUCUUUAUUUUUUAAGUCUUCUUCAGCAGCGCCCCAUCCACUACCCCAGUUUGCAGGAUUUUCAUUAUUUUUUAGGUCAUCUUCAGCAUCGCCCCAUCCAAUGCAUGCAAGCGACUGAUCUAAAAGGA